This 72-nucleotide transfer RNA is filed under the name Angiostrongylus costaricensis. It matches the Rfam family "tRNA". From Rfam's summary of the family: Transfer RNA (tRNA) molecules are approximately 80 nucleotides in length. Their secondary structure includes four short double-helical elements and three loops (D, anti-codon, and T loops). Further hydrogen bonds mediate the characteristic L-shaped molecular structure. tRNAs have two regions of fundamental functional importance: the anti-codon, which is responsible for specific mRNA codon recognition, and the 3' end, to which the tRNAs corresponding amino acid is attached (by aminoacyl-tRNA synthetases). tRNAs cope with the degeneracy of the genetic code in two manners: having more than one tRNA (with a specific anti-codon) for a particular amino acid; and 'wobble' base-pairing, i.e. permitting non-standard base-pairing at the 3rd anti-codon position. The record is from Rfam by way of RNAcentral. Lineage: Eukaryota; Metazoa; Nematoda; Chromadorea; Rhabditida; Metastrongylidae.
GGCCGGAUGGUCUAAGGGUAUGAUUCUCGGUUUGGGUGCGAGAGGUACCGGGUUCAAAUCCCGGUUCGGCCC